RNAcentral lists this ribosomal RNA (192 nucleotides) under uncultured bacterium. Its description in RNAcentral is "partial 16S ribosomal RNA". It matches the Rfam family "Bacterial small subunit ribosomal RNA", at positions 1309 to 1500 of the family's 1533-position model. The record is from RNAcentral.
AACUCGCCUGCAUGAAGUUGGAAUUGCUAGUAAUCGCGGAUCAGCAUGCCGCGGUGAAUACGUUCCCGGGCCUUGUACACACCGCCCGUCACACCAUGAGAGUCGAUAACACCCGAAGCCUGUAGUCUAACCAUAAGGGGGACGCAGUCGAAGGUGGGAUUGAUAAUUAGGGUGAAGUCGUAACAAGGUACC